GAAGGGUCUGGAAAGUCCCACUAUAGAGCGUGAUAGUCGCGUAGCCGAAAUCUGACAAUACUUAUCUGGUUCCUGAGUAGGGCGGGGCACGUGAAACCCUGUCUGAAUCCGGGAGGACCAUCUCCCAAGCCUAAAUACUACCUAAUGACCGAUAGUGAAUCAGUACCGUGAGGGAAAGGUGAAAAGAACCCCGUUGGGGGAGUG
This 204-nucleotide ribosomal RNA is filed under the name Foraminifera environmental sample. RNAcentral describes it as "partial Bacterial large subunit ribosomal RNA". It matches the Rfam family "Bacterial large subunit ribosomal RNA", at positions 335 to 540 of the family's 2925-position model. The record is from RNAcentral. Lineage: Eukaryota; Foraminifera.